ACAUGACAUAAGUCAACCUAGGUUAAUGCUGUUAUUAAUCAUUCUACAUUCCAAGGUCAGUGGCUGGAUAGAAUGGUUUUAAAAUGGCUUACAUGACUUGAGAGGCCGCUAUGUGGGGAGAGAGCUACAUGCUGGCAAUGUCAAGUGCCCAGAGUGUGGGAAAACUACAGAUGCAUGGCAAUGAAAGCAUACGGCACACACUAAUGUCACGUGGAGCUGUGUGUUUCCCCUCUGCAAUAUGAUUGGCUAUUAACCUGUUGUCGUCAUCUGAUCGGCUCUUGUCAGAAGUUAGCAUUUCUUGUAAAGAAGAUGGGGUCACCCUAAACAAUGUGGAUUAUAUUCUACAAAACAACUUCAAAAGUCUUCAUUUUGAAGGAAAAUUGAGAUCAAACACGUAGCUAGGUACCCACCAGCCGCAGGAUGUUGUUAUAAACCAAACCGCUGGUAAAAACAAUAAUCAGAUUUAGGGUGGAGUGGUUAUCCAGAAAAAAAUGCUAGCUUAACGUUAGAGAAUACGCCUUUUUGCUUCCGGCGUGUGUUAUUCGGAGAAGAUGGUACCCCUGGUCAACAACAGGCUUUCAAGAUCGCAGGACAACGCGGGAAAUGGGGCUAAAUCAUAGCAAACGUUACCCAACUUGACAGCGCAUGGAUCCUGACAUCCGGCAUGAUACCACGGCGAUUAUCUCCUGUGAUCUUUAAUAACAUCCCAGAGAGGAAGACAGAGUGCAAUAAGCUGCAUCUGCUGUAACUGGCCCUGGCAGAACAAGCACAAAGGAGCGAGGAGAAUAGAGAGGGGGAAGGGCAGAG
Perca flavescens (yellow perch) is the source of this 807-nucleotide long non-coding RNA. RefSeq lists it as uncharacterized. The record is from RefSeq and is a predicted model, not a curated record. The transcript has 3 exons. NCBI's taxonomy places the organism in Eukaryota, Metazoa, Chordata, Actinopteri, Perciformes, Percidae.